UACGUAGGGUGCAAGCGUUGUCCGGAAUUAUUGGGCGUAAAGAGCUCGUAGGCGGUGUGUCGCGUCGGCCGUGAAAACCUGCAGCUUAACUGUGGGCUUGCGGUCGAUACGGGCAUCACUGGAGUUCGGCAGGGGAGACUGGAAUUCCUGGUGUAGCGGUGAAAUGCGCAGAUAUCUGGAGGAACACCGGUGGCGAAGGCGGCAUCCUGGACCAAUUCUGACGCUGAGGAGCGAAAGCCAGGGGAGCAAACGGG
Molecule: ribosomal RNA, 254 nt
Filed under: uncultured bacterium
Lineage: Bacteria
Description: partial 16S ribosomal RNA
Rfam family: Bacterial small subunit ribosomal RNA
Source: RNAcentral